UGGGGUUUGUUGGAGGCGGGAGAAGGAGUCUGUGGAGGGUGGGUUAGACUCCCGGUUAAAGAAAUAGGCGCGGAGGUGAAGGCGGCGGAAAAAGUGUUCGACAUCCAGAUGUGAAUGGAAUUCAUUGUGUGGGUGGACAGGAAUGAGGGUGAGUCCUUUGCUGAGGACUGACCAUUCGUCCUCACUGAGGCAGAUGUCUGGGGGGAUGGUGAAUACCCGUUGGGGCUUGGGCUAGGUGUAGAGCUGGCAGUACAGUUGGAGCUGGGUGCGGGGGUAGAGUUAGUGACAUUGUUGGCGGCGGGAGCAGCAACGUCAGUGUCAGUGGUGUCGGCGGCAGUCGGCGUCGGUUGUGGUGGUGUUGACGGAAGUGAUGUCGACGGCCUUGAUGUCGGCAGUGUCAGCGUCUGAAGCAGCAGCGUCCACGGUGUAAGUGGCGGCAGCGGCAGCAGAAGCUAUGUGAUGGUGUCGGCGGAAGUGACUAGAUACUCAUCCUGCAUCAGCGAACUUUGUUCCCAUUCAAAAUAUAAUUUUCUGCUUGUGAUCAGAUGGACCAUGGAUUGUCUAAAGAUUGCUCUUGAUUGUACAGACUGGUCCAUUAUGGAAUAGAGGAAGAAAAAAGGAGCAUCAUAAGUAGAAAAGCCAUCAUAUAUCACGUUUACAUUGAUGUUAAAUGAUAUCUAAUUGAAGUAAUUUGCAUUACAAUAGUGUUAAAGUUGAAAUAUUCUCACUGAUGAUGUGGAAACUUUAGUGAACUGCAUGAUCUAACUGACAGCUUCUCAUCCAUAUAGGAUGCAGAAAAGCUGAAAAGAAAAAAAUAAAAACUUUUUUAAAAAUGAGACACUGCUAUAGACUGGUUUCCAACCAUCUCCUUUCCACCUGCCUGUUGUUUUUUAUAGUUUGUAAAAUGUUUUCAUUUCUUUGCAUCAAGUUUGUAUUUUAUGAAGACUAAGCCACUUGAUACUAAUGACUUCAACAAAUGUUGAUUGGUACAAUAUAUACAGGUUUGUACUUUUGUAUACCAUCACAAUCAAGUUUUACCAACAUAUUGUAAUGAACUAAUUUUGCAGGCACUGGUGACAUUUGUACUAAUUCCAUUGCCACUGUUUUUUUUUUAAAAAAAGUCUUGGCGUUCCCUCCCCUCUGGUCUCUCAUUUGUCCUAUGUCUAGUUAAGAGCAUUUUGAACAGGCCUGGGCACAGGGUGGUAAUCUUUAACCUUAGAAUAGGAAAUCCUGAGGUUUUUAUCCUCAUACCAAAAGUAAACAGAAAACACAAGAUCCAACUGGAUAAAAUGUUUAAACAAAUGGAUCAAAUGAGUUAUAAUCAGGGUUAGUUGAACAAAAUUUUUUAAAAGUCUCU
Rhincodon typus (whale shark) is the source of this 1357-nucleotide long non-coding RNA. RefSeq lists it as uncharacterized. The transcript has 3 exons. The record is from RefSeq and is a predicted model, not a curated record. NCBI's taxonomy places the organism in Eukaryota, Metazoa, Chordata, Chondrichthyes, Orectolobiformes, Rhincodontidae.